GAUAUCUAAGUGUACAAUUAAAACAUACAGAAUUUGAAACAGCAAACCCUAGAGGCAUAUUAUCUACCCUCCUCAAAGCUAAACAUAUAUAAUUACCCAUCCCUUUUCACUAGCCAACCCCAAUCUUUGUUUACAAAUUAUUACAGAUCAAGUGUUGAAUUACAAGAGAAGUACAAAAUAAGAAGCUACAACCAAAAGAAGCUUGAUCUUGACUUCCCGUCUGAAUUAUAUAAUUAAUCACUGCAAUGCCACUCAUUUCAAAGCCUUUCUCAGACCUGGGUACGUUAAAGUUCCCUAAGGGUCUCGAGGGACCCCGUGCAGUGCUUACACCCAGGAUUGCAUAACCAGAUACAGAAUGAGUGCAGUGUGGAAGGGCGAGCCCUUAUGUGUCCAAGUUCAGAGAGAUCUCAAGCGUCCUAAGGCAAGGCUCACACAAGAGGGGCAGAACUUAGGUUCUAGGAAUAUAGUGAAAGUGCAGAACAUAGAGAUUUAUUUAACAUUGGGCUGGGAAAUAGUAAGUGAUAAGGGUGAUGUGAAAACAAUAGUACACAUGAUCAAUAAUUACACAAAGGGGUCAGGGGUUUUGGGAAUACAUUGUAAAACUGGACUGGGAAAUAGUAACUGAUAAGAAUGAUUUGAAAAUAGUAGUAGUAAAAUUUAGACUACAUAGAGUCAACAUUUGCACAAAGAGGUCGGGGGUUUUGGGAAUAUAUUUCUUGAAGCAUAUGACCCUAGGAGGGGUCAGGUUUAGACAUGCACAACAAUAGAGGAUGCUGGCAUAUUCAAAAAUCAGCCAAAGAAUACAAACAUAAAGAGGGGAUAUGGGGUUUGGGAUUUAUACACAUAGAAGAGCAUUAACUUAAAAAGGGGAAAGGAACACAAUGCCACACGCUAAUAAUGUAACUUGAUUGUGGAAGCAUAAGAAGAAAUGAACAAGUAUGAGGGAAGUUGGAACAAUUACAGAAACAUAUUGUUGUUAAUGCUUGAAAAUUAACUAGGACAUACUAGUAAAAAGUAAAGGGCAGAAAGAAAAGUAAGCAAAUGUCCACAGUCUAGCCUUGGCUUUCAGCCGGCUAGAAAAAACUGUAGCAUAAAUAGUUACAGAAAAAAGAGAGUUUUUACUGAAGUGUCUGGUCUGAACUUAGGUAGUUCAUGUCCUAUUAAAGAAAAGGGGUGUGUAUUUAUAGUUUUGAAAACAAGUGGUAAGUAAGGUAAUCAGCAAAG
This 1224-nucleotide long non-coding RNA is filed under the name Nicotiana benthamiana. RNAcentral's name for it is "long non-coding RNA (NBEN_LNC027381)". The record is from RNAcentral. Lineage: Eukaryota; Viridiplantae; Streptophyta; Magnoliopsida; Solanales; Solanaceae.